RNAcentral lists this ribosomal RNA (558 nucleotides) under Escherichia coli. Its description in RNAcentral is "partial 23S ribosomal RNA". It matches the Rfam family "Bacterial large subunit ribosomal RNA", at positions 683 to 1239 of the family's 2925-position model. The record is from RNAcentral. Lineage: Bacteria; Pseudomonadati; Pseudomonadota; Gammaproteobacteria; Enterobacterales; Enterobacteriaceae.
CUUAACUGGGCGUUAAGUUGCAGGGUAUAGACCCGAAACCCGGUGAUCUAGCCAUGGGCAGGUUGAAGGUUGGGUAACACUAACUGGAGGACCGAACCGACUAAUGUUGAAAAAUUAGCGGAUGACUUGUGGCUGGGGGUGAAAGGCCAAUCAAACCGGGAGAUAGCUGGUUCUCCCCGAAAGCUAUUUAGGUAGCGCCUCGUGAAUUCAUCUCCGGGGGUAGAGCACUGUUUCGGCAAGGGGGUCAUCCCGACUUACCAACCCGAUGCAAACUGCGAAUACCGGAGAAUGUUAUCACGGGAGACACACGGCGGGUGCUAACGUCCGUCGUGAAGAGGGAAACAACCCAGACCGCCAGCUAAGGUCCCAAAGUCAUGGUUAAGUGGGAAACGAUGUGGGAAGGCCCAGACAGCCAGGAUGUUGGCUUAGAAGCAGCCAUCAUUUAAAGAAAGCGUAAUAGCUCACUGGUCGAGUCGGCCUGCGCGGAAGAUGUAACGGGGCUAAACCAUGCACCGAAGCUGCGGCAGCGACACUGUGUGUUGUUGGGUAGGGGAGCGU